RNAcentral lists this ribosomal RNA (207 nucleotides) under uncultured bacterium. RNAcentral's name for it is "partial 16S ribosomal RNA". It matches the Rfam family "Bacterial small subunit ribosomal RNA", at positions 568 to 774 of the family's 1533-position model. The record is from RNAcentral.
UGCGUAGGCGGGUUUCUAAGUCAGAGGUGAAAGCCUGGAGCUCAACUCCAGAACUGCCUUUGAUACUGGAAGUCUUGAGUAUGGCAGAGGUGAGUGGAACUGCGAGUGUAGAGGUGAAAUUCGUAGAUAUUCGCAAGAACACCAGUGGCGAAGGCGGCUCACUGGGCCAUUACUGACGCUGAGGCACGAAAGGCGUGGGAGCAAACA